Molecule: long non-coding RNA, 1126 nt
Filed under: Equus asinus (donkey)
Lineage: Eukaryota; Metazoa; Chordata; Mammalia; Perissodactyla; Equidae
Description: lncRNA (ENSEASG00005038208.1)
Source: RNAcentral
AAAGAAAUGAAGUAAAAUCAUAGUGUACUAUUGGAUCAGCAUUGAACAAUAUUUACAUAGAUAUGGUAACUAAAUGUGAACUAUAGACCCAAGCAAAGAUUGUGAUGUAAUUAUAUUUGGAAGUUGGAUGGGGAAUGUAAGAGAGUUAAACACUCUCAUAUAUCACAAGAAGAAGUUAUUAGAUACCAUUUGCAAUUCAUAAAUCAAAAGAGAACAAUACACCAUAAAAAUACAGAGGUAAUUACUAGAAGAGCUAAAGAAUUGAAAGUGCUUACUACUGGAGUUGACCGGGAACUAUUGUUUUUUGGUCACAAGUCUUAAAUUAUUAUUUUACUUAUUAAACUAUGUUUAAGAACAUAGUUUACGUUACAAAACAUGGAGUACUUUGAUAAAAAUUUUAAAAUAAGUCUAAUGACAUUAAAUAUUAAAAUCAUAAAUUUGAUAUAUAUUAAAUUCUAUAAUAGGUUGGGUUUUCUAGAACAUUUCAGACAUCUAUACCUUUAUCAGGUGGCAAGAUCUCUUAUCUAAGAGAAGCCAACCAACUAGACUUACUUUAAGACUGAGGACCACAAUAUAGUUACAGAUUUGAGUUACAGUAAGAUAUUCUGUACUGAGACACUGGUUCUGAGUUACUACUUCCAAGCUGAUUCUACCUAAACUCCAGGUUUUCAUGCCAGUUCCUUCUUAUAGUCUUUACCACUUUUAGAUGCAGGCAAGAGAGGCUCCUGCUCUAGUUUCAGCACAUAUCACGAAUACACAUUUAUUUUGAAAAACGUAGGUGCCUCUGUCACUCGGGAUUCUAUGCUCAGCACAGAACCUGCGUGACUUGUCCUAAACGUUUACUCUUGUGGUGAACACUCUUCAGCCCCAGGGCAACACUUCUCCACAACUUGUGCCCAGUGUCUGUGAAACAGAAUGAGAUGUGCUGCUGCCUGCGCUGGAGACAGAAUGCUUUGGAUUUGAGUGGCAGAGGGGCUUAGCCCCCUGGUACAUAGUUGUGUAUUUUUAGUUGUGGGUCCUUCUAGUUGUGCCAUGUGGGAUGCCGCCUCAACAUGGCUUGAUGAACGUGCCAUGUCCCCGCCCAGGAUCUGAACCGGCGAAACCCUGGGCACCGAAGAGGAGCACG